AUCAAAAACAUCCGCUUUAAGUUAGAAUAAUUUAAAGUCUGGUCUGCUCUAUGAAAUUUAAAUGGCUGCAGUAUUUUGACUGUGCUAAGGUAGCAAAAUAAAUAGUUUAUUGAUUGUAUUCUGGGAUGAAUGAUUUCAUAAAAUAUUAACUGUUUCUAAUUAAUUAAAUUGAAUUUUAUUUUUAGGUUAAAAAGCUUAAUUGAUUUAGUGGGACGAGAAGACCCCAUAGAUUUUUAUAAAUUUAAUUUAAAUUAAAUUUAGUUUAAGUUAUUUAUAUAGUAAUUUAUUUUAAUGGGGAAUUAAUAAAAUUUUUUUAAAUAAAUUUUUAUGAAUAUUUAACAAAAUUAUUUGGGAAAAGUAGUUAGUGAAUAGAAUUAUCAUUAUAGAUAAAAAUACCUUGGGGAUAACAGCAUUAUAAUUUUAUAAAGAUCUUAUUUAUAAAGUUGUUUGUGACCUCG
RNAcentral lists this ribosomal RNA (458 nucleotides) under Decevania sp. DERV005. Its description in RNAcentral is "partial 16S ribosomal RNA". Lineage: Eukaryota; Metazoa; Arthropoda; Insecta; Hymenoptera; Evaniidae. The record is from RNAcentral.